Molecule: ribosomal RNA, 285 nt
Filed under: Escherichia coli
Lineage: Bacteria; Pseudomonadati; Pseudomonadota; Gammaproteobacteria; Enterobacterales; Enterobacteriaceae
Description: partial 16S ribosomal RNA
Rfam family: Bacterial small subunit ribosomal RNA
Source: RNAcentral
AAAUUGAAGAGUUUGAUCAUGGCUCAGAUUGAACGCUGGCGGCAGGCCUAACACAUGCAAGUCGAACGGUAACAGGAAGCAGCUUGCUGCUUUGCUGACGAGUGGCGGACGGGUGAGUAAUGUCUGGGAAACUGCCUGAUGGAGGGGGAUAACUACUGGAAACGGUAGCUAAUACCGCAUAACGUCGCAAGACCAAAGAGGGGGACCUUCGGGCCUCUUGCCAUCGGAUGUGCCCAGAUGGGAUUAGCUAGUAGGUGGGGUAACGGCUCACCUAGGCGACGAUCC